Molecule: ribosomal RNA, 1232 nt
Filed under: Escherichia coli
Lineage: Bacteria; Pseudomonadati; Pseudomonadota; Gammaproteobacteria; Enterobacterales; Enterobacteriaceae
Description: partial 23S ribosomal RNA
Rfam family: Bacterial large subunit ribosomal RNA
Source: RNAcentral
CAUAGGUUAAUGAGGCGAACCGGGGGAACUGAAACAUCUAAGUACCCCGAGGAAAAGAAAUCAACCGAGAUUCCCCCAGUAGCGGCGAGCGAACGGGGAGGAGCCCAGAGCCUGAAUCAGUGUGUGUGUUAGUGGAAGCGUCUGGAAAGGCGCGCGAUACAGGGUGACAGCCCCGUACACAAAAAUGCACAUGCUGUGAGCUCGAUGAGUAGGGCGGGACACGUGGUAUCCUGUCUGAAUAUGGGGGGACCAUCCUCCAAGGCUAAAUACUCCUGACUGACCGAUAGUGAACCAGUACCGUGAGGGAAAGGCGAAAAGAACCCCGGCGAGGGGAGUGAAAAAGAACCUGAAACCGUGUACGUACAAGCAGUGGGAGCACGCUUAGGCGUGUGACUGCGUACCUUUUGUAUAAUGGGUCAGCGACUUAUAUUCUGUAGCAAGGUUAACCGAAUAGGGGAGCCGAAGGGAAACCGAGUCUUAACUGGGCGUUAAGUUGCAGGGUAUAGACCCGAAACCCGGUGAUCUAGCCAUGGGCAGGUUGAAGGUUGGGUAACACUAACUGGAGGACCGAACCGACUAAUGUUGAAAAAUUAGCGGAUGACUUGUGGCUGGGGGUGAAAGGCCAAUCAAACCGGGAGAUAGCUGGUUCUCCCCGAAAGCUAUUUAGGUAGCGCCUCGUGAAUUCAUCUCCGGGGGUAGAGCACUGUUUCGGCAAGGGGGUCAUCCCGACUUACCAACCCGAUGCAAACUGCGAAUACCGGAGAAUGUUAUCACGGGAGACACACGGCGGGUGCUAACGUCCGUCGUGAAGAGGGAAACAACCCAGACCGCCAGCUAAGGUCCCAAAGUCAUGGUUAAGUGGGAAACGAUGUGGGAAGGCCCAGACAGCCAGGAUGUUGGCUUAGAAGCAGCCAUCAUUUAAAGAAAGCGUAAUAGCUCACUGGUCGAGUCGGCCUGCGCGGAAGAUGUAACGGGGCUAAACCAUGCACCGAAGCUGCGGCAGCGACACUAUGUGUUGUUGGGUAGGGGAGCGUUCUGUAAGCCUGUGAAGGUGUGCUGUGAGGCAUGCUGGAGGUAUCAGAAGUGCGAAUGCUGACAUAAGUAACGAUAAAGCGGGUGAAAAGCCCGCUCGCCGGAAGACCAAGGGUUCCUGUCCAACGUUAAUCGGGGCAGGGUGAGUCGACCCCUAAGGCGAGGCCGAAAGGCGUAGUCGAUGGGAAACAGGUUAAUAU